Molecule: ribosomal RNA, 484 nt
Filed under: uncultured bacterium
Lineage: Bacteria
Description: partial 16S ribosomal RNA
Rfam family: Bacterial small subunit ribosomal RNA
Source: RNAcentral
AUUGAACGCUGGCGGCAGGCCUAACACAUGCAAGUCGAGCGGAUGAAGGGAGCUUGCUCCUGGAUUCAGCGGCGGACGGGUGAGUAAUGCCUAGGAAUCUGCCUGGUAGUGGGGGAUAACGUCCGGAAACGGGCGCUAAUACCGCAUACGUCCUGAGGGAGAAAGUGGGGGAUCUUCGGACCUCACGCUAUCAGAUGAGCCUAGGUCGGAUUAGCUAGUUGGUGGGGUAAAGGCCUACCAAGGCGACGAUCCGUAACUGGUCUGAGAGGAUGAUCAGUCACACUGGAACUGAGACACGGUCCAGACUCCUACGGGAGGCAGCAGUGGGGAAUAUUGGACAAUGGGCGAAAGCCUGAUCCAGCCAUGCCGCGUGUGUGAAGAAGGUCUUCGGAUUGUAAAGCACUUUAAGUUGGGAGGAAGGGCAGUAAGUUAAUACCUUGCUGUUUUGACGGUACCAGCAGAAUAAGCACCGGCUAACUUCGUG